Molecule: ribosomal RNA, 2385 nt
Filed under: Staphylococcus pseudintermedius
Lineage: Bacteria; Bacillati; Bacillota; Bacilli; Caryophanales; Staphylococcaceae
Description: partial 23S ribosomal RNA
Rfam family: Bacterial large subunit ribosomal RNA
Source: RNAcentral
CGAAAACGAAUUCUCUCUUGAGUGGAUCCUGAGUACGACGGAGCACGUGAAAUUCCGUCGGAAUCUGGGAGGACCAUCUCCUAAGGCUAAAUACUCUCUAGUGACCGAUAGUGAACCAGUACCGUGAGGGAAAGGUGAAAAGUACCCCGGAAGGGGAGUGAAAGAGAACUUGAAACCGUGUGCUUACAAGUAGUCAGAGCCCGUUAAUGGGUGAUGGCGUGCCUUUUGUAGAAUGAACCGGCGAGUUACGAUCUGAUGCAAGGUUAAGCAGAAAAUGUGGAGCCGUAGCGAAAGCGAGUCUGAAUAGGGCGAAUGAGUAUUUGGUCGUAGACCCGAAACCAGGUGAUCUACCCUUGGUCAGGUUGAAGUUCAGGUAACACUGAAUGGAGGACCGAACCGACUUACGUUGAAAAGUGAGCGGAUGAACUGAGGGUAGCGGAGAAAUUCCAAUCGAACUUGGAGAUAGCUGGUUCUCUCCGAAAUAGCUUUAGGGCUAGCCUCAAGUGAUGAUUAUUGGAGGUAGAGCACUGUUUGGACGAGGGGCCCCUCUCGGGUUACCGAAUUCAGACAAACUCCGAAUGCCAAAUAAUUUAACUUGGGAGUCAGAAUGUGGGUGAUAAGGUCCAUAUUCGAAAGGGAAACAGCCCAGACCACCAGCUAAGGUCCCAAAAUAUAUGUUAAGUGGAAAAGGAUGUGGCGUUGCCCAGACAACUAGGAUGUUGGCUUAGAAGCAGCCAUCAUUUAAAGAGUGCGUAAUAGCUCACUAGUCGAGUGACACUGCGCCGAAAAUGUACCGGGGCUAAACAUAUUACCGAAGCUGUGGAUUGUCCUUUGGACAAUGGUAGGAGAGCGUUCUAAGGGCGUUGAAGCAUGAUCGCAAGGACAUGUGGAGCGCUUAGAAGUGAGAAUGCCGGUGUGAGUAGCGAAAGACGGGUGAGAAUCCCGUCCACCGAUUGACUAAGGUUUCCAGAGGAAGGCUCGUCCGCUCUGGGUUAGUCGGGUCCUAAGCUGAGGCCGACAGGCGUAGGCGAUGGAUAACAGGUUGAUAUUCCUGUACCACCAUUAUUCGUUUUAAGCGAUGGGGGGACGCAGUAGGAUAGGCGAAGCGUGCUGUUGGAGUGCACGUCCAAGCAGUGAGAUUGAGUGUUAGGCAAAUCCGGCACUCUUAAGAUUGAGCUGUGAUGGGGAGAGGAACUUGUUCCUCGAGUCGUUGAUUUCACACUGCCGAGAAAAGCCUCUAGCUAGAAUAACGGUGCCCGUACCGCAAACCGACACAGGUAGUCAAGAUGAGAAUUCUAAGGUGAGCGAGCGAACUCUCGUUAAGGAACUCGGCAAAAUGACCCCGUAACUUCGGGAGAAGGGGUGCUCUUUGAGGUUCACGCUUCGAAGAGCCGCAGUGAAUAGGCCCAAGCGACUGUUUAUCAAAAACACAGGUCUCUGCUAAACCGUAAGGUGACGUAUAGGGGCUGACGCCUGCCCGGUGCUGGAAGGUUAAGAGGAGUGGUUAGCGCAAGCGAAGCUACGAAUCGAAGCCCCAGUAAACGGCGGCCGUAACUAUAACGGUCCUAAGGUAGCGAAAUUCCUUGUCGGGUAAGUUCCGACCCGCACGAAAGGCGUAACGAUUUGGGCACUGUCUCAACGAGAGACUCGGUGAAAUCAUAGUACCGGUGAAGAUGCCGGUUACCCGCGACAGGACGGAAAGACCCCGUGGAGCUUUACUGUAGCCUGAUAUUGAAAUUCGGUACAGUUUGUACAGGAUAGGUAGGAGCCUUAGAAGCGUGAGCGCUAGCUUACGUGGAGGCAUUGGUGGGAUACUACCCUAAUUGUAUUGGAUUUCUAACCCGCAGCACUUAUCGUGCUGGGAGACAGUGUCAGGCGGGCAGUUUGACUGGGGCGGUCGCCUCCUAAAGAGUAACGGAGGCGCUCAAAGGUUCCCUCAGAAUGGUUGGAAAUCAUUCAUAGAGUGUAAAGGCAUAAGGGAGCUUGACUGCGAGACCUACAAGUCGAGCAGGGUCGAAAGACGGACUUAGUGAUCCGGUGGUUCCGCAUGGAAGGGCCAUCGCUCAACGGAUAAAAGCUACCCCGGGGAUAACAGGCUUAUCUCCCCCAAGAGUUCACAUCGACGGGGAGGUUUGGCACCUCGAUGUCGGCUCAUCGCAUCCUGGGGCUGUAGUCGGUCCCAAGGGUUGGGCUGUUCGCCCAUUAAAGCGGUACGCGAGCUGGGUUCAGAACGUCGUGAGACAGUUCGGUCCCUAUCCGUCGUGGGCGUAGGAAAUUUGAGAGGAGCUGUCCUUAGUACGAGAGGACCGGGAUGGACAUACCUCUGGUGUACCAGUUGUCGUGCCAACGGCAUAGCUGGGUAGCUAUGUAUGGACGGGAUAAGUG